GAUGAACGCUGGCGGCGUGCUUAACACAUGCAAGUCGAGGGGCAGCAUGAUUGAACUUUCGGGUUCGAUUGAUGGCGACCGGCGCAAGGGUGCGUAACGCGUGAGCAACUUGCCCGUUUCAGGGGGAUAACCGGUGGAAACGCCGACUAAUACCCCAUAGUAUCAUGAUCAGGCAUCUGUUAUCAAUUAAAGAAUUUCGGAAACGGAUAGGCUCGCGUGACAUUAGCUAGACGGCGGGUAACGGCCCACCGUGGCGACGAUGUCUAGGGGUUCUGAGAGGAAGGUCCCCCACACUGGAACUGAGACACGGUCCAGACUCCUACGGGAGGCAGCAGUGAGGAAUACUUGGUCAAUGGUCUGACGACUGAACCAGCCAUGCCGCGUGAAGGUCACGGCCCUAUGGGUCUUAAACUUCUUUUGCAAGGGAGCAAUAAGCCUCACGUGUGGGGCGAUGAGAGUACCUUGCGAUAAGCAUCGGCUAACUCCGUGCCA
Molecule: ribosomal RNA, 492 nt
Filed under: uncultured bacterium
Lineage: Bacteria
Description: bacterial SSU rRNA
Rfam family: Bacterial small subunit ribosomal RNA
Source: RNAcentral